ACGUAGGAUGCAAGCGUUAUCCGGAAUUAUUGGGCGUAAAGCGUUCGUAGGCGGUUUGUUAAGUUGGAUGUCAAAGCCCAGAGCUCAACUCUGGUCAGGUAUCCAAAACUGGCGAACUUGAGACAGGUAGAGGCAAGUGGAAUUCUGUAUGUAGGGGUAAUAUCCGUAGAUAUACAGAGGAACACCAAAAGCGAAGGCAGCUUGCUGGACCUGUUCUGACGCUCAAGAACGAAAGCGUGGGGAGCAAACGGGAUUAGAUACCCCGGUAGUCCACGCCCUAAACGAUGAACACUAGGUGUUGGAGGUCUCGACCCCUCCAGUGCCGACGCUAACGCAUUAAGUGUUCCGCCUGGGUAGUACGGUCGCAAGAUUA
This 373-nucleotide ribosomal RNA is filed under the name uncultured bacterium. RNAcentral's name for it is "bacterial SSU rRNA". It matches the Rfam family "Bacterial small subunit ribosomal RNA", at positions 525 to 896 of the family's 1533-position model. The record is from RNAcentral.